AUAAGCCCACGACCCGGCAUCGGGUAGAGGGAAAAGGAGCAAUCCGCUUUGAGAUGGCCUCGCGUCCGAUUAGCUAGUUGGUGAGGUAACGGCCCACCAAGGCGACGAUCGGUAGCCGGACUGAGAGGUUGAACGGCCACAUUGGGACUGAGACACGGCCCAGACUCCUACGGGAGGCAGCAGUGGGGAAUAUUGCACAAUGGGGGAAACCCUGAUGCAGCGACGCCGCGUGGAGGAAGAAGGUCUUCGGAUUGUAAACUCCUGUUGUUGAGGAAGAUAAUGACGGUACUCAACAAGGAAGUGACGGCUAACUACGUGCCAGCAGCCGCGGUAAAACGUAGGUCACAAGCGUUGUCCGGAAUUACUGGGUGUAAAGGGAGCGCAGGCGGGAAGACAAGUUGGAAGUGAAAUCCAUGGGCUCAACCCAUGAACUGCUUUCAAAACUGUUUUUCUUGAGUAGUGCAGAGGUAGGCGGAAUUCCCGGUGUAGCGGUGGAAUGCGUAGAUAUCGGGAGGAACACCAGUGGCGAAGGCGGCCUACUGGGCACCAACUGACGCUGAGGCUCGAAAGUGUGGGUAGCAAACAGGAUUAGAUACCCUGGUAGUCCACACUGUAAACGAUGAUUACUAGGUGUUGGAGGAUUGACCCCUUCAGUGCCGCAGUUAACACAAUAAGUAAUCCACCUGGGGAGUACGACCGCAAGGUUGAAACUCAAAGGAAUUGACGGGGGCCCGCACAAGCAGUGGAGUAUGUGGUUUAAUUCGACGCAACGCGAAGAACCUUACCAAGUCUUGACAUCCUGCGACGGUUCUGGAAACAGAACUUUCCUUCGGGACGCAGAGACAGGUGGUGCAUGGUUGUCGUCAGCUCGUGUCGUGAGAUGUUGGGUUAAGUCCCGCAACGAGCGCAACCCUUAUGGUCAGUUACUACGCAAGAGGACUCUGGCCAGACUGCCGUUGACAAAACGGAGGAAGGUGGGGAUGACGUCAAAUCAUCAUGCCCUUUAUGACUUGGGCUACACACGUACUACAAUGGCGUUAAACAAUAGAAGCAAGACCGCGAGGUGGAGCAAAACUCAGAAACAACGUCCCAGUUCGGACUGCAGGCUGCAACUCGCCUGCACGAAGUCGGAAUUGCUAGUAAUCGCAGAUCAGCAUGCUGCGGUGAAUACGUUCCCGGGCCUUGUACACACCGCCCGUCACACCAUGAGAGCCGGGGGGACCCGAAGUCGGUAGUCUAACCGCAAGGAGGACGCCGCCGAAGGUAAAACUGGUGAUUGGGGUGAAGUCGUAACAAGGUA
This 1300-nucleotide ribosomal RNA is filed under the name metagenome. RNAcentral's name for it is "bacterial SSU rRNA". It matches the Rfam family "Bacterial small subunit ribosomal RNA", at positions 173 to 1498 of the family's 1533-position model. The record is from RNAcentral.